GCGGUAACUCAACCAGUCAUUGGAUCUAUUGUGACCAAACUGGUGGUGUUAACAGGGUUACUUUUUCUCUGAUUGAGUCUUAGAAGCUGAUAAUAUAAUGAUACGGUUAGUGCUGUUAGUAUUCCCCUCAGUCUAACCACAAUAAACCGGAAUUUCUUACUUAUCGGAAACUAAAACUGCAUCAGGAAACCCUGGAGAACCAGUACUGCUGUCAAAGACUGUUGUUGUGGUACUGCACCCAUUUGCAUGGGUAGUUGCCUCACCACUGCUGCUGUUUGGAGGAGCACUACCUGUAUGCCUAUCACCAGUCUCGUUACCAUCAGA
RNAcentral lists this unclassified non-coding RNA (324 nucleotides) under Hevea brasiliensis (rubber tree). Lineage: Eukaryota; Viridiplantae; Streptophyta; Magnoliopsida; Malpighiales; Euphorbiaceae. The record is from RNAcentral.